Molecule: non-coding RNA, 98 nt
Organism: Acanthosepion pharaonis
Lineage: Eukaryota; Metazoa; Mollusca; Cephalopoda; Sepiida; Sepiidae
Source: the annotation of a GenBank genome assembly
AUUGAAAAACCGGUUCCCGUAUUAUCACCGAAGUUAAGCAACGUUGAUUCUGGUUAGUACCUAGAUGGGUGACCGUUUGGAAAUCUCAGAUGCUGUAU